UUGUUAGAGUGCUCUAAAAAUUCUGGACUUGUGAUAUGUUAUAGUACACUCAAUAAGCUUUCCAUAGACUCCGAAACGGACUAAAUCCGACAUCGGAGGAGCAAGUUAUGGAAUUUCUACCAAACUACACAAAGUUAAGAAAACUGUUAAAAGGACAGAUUUGAACAGUCACUUCCGGGCUAAAUUCCUGGAGCUUAACAUGUCCAAAUAUGGAUUGUGAUAGAUGAAAAUUGUAAUUAGGAAAGAUACGAAUCUGAUAAAAUUGACGGAUCAUUAAUCGGAGUUACAGAUUUCAUUUUAUAUAAGUUUUAGCAAAGGACUCUAAAACUGCCAAAUGACAAAAAGUUGCUGCCCAAAAUUUUCCGGGGACUGUUUCGGAUAUUUAUUUAAUGAGAAAAAUUCCAGGAUUUUGGGAAAUGAAAAUAUAUGGUAUUAUGUAGCUCGUGUCCAAAAAUGAGCUGAUUCCGAGUUAAAACGACCAAGUUAUGACCAUUACAAUUUUUAUGAUUUUCCGACGGAAAUCGCUAUAAACGGAGUUCUACAACUCCGAUUGCCACGAAAUUUAAAAUGGAGUAUCACGUUAACAUAUAUAAGGUUAUGCCAAGAGAUGGGCAUUACUGGAGUUAAGCACGAGGUAGCUAAUUUCUUAAGCUACGCACUAAAAUNNNN
Molecule: long non-coding RNA, 669 nt
Filed under: Panax ginseng (ginseng)
Lineage: Eukaryota; Viridiplantae; Streptophyta; Magnoliopsida; Apiales; Araliaceae
Description: long non-coding RNA (PGIN_LNC000081)
Source: RNAcentral